UACGUAGGGUGCGAGCGUUGCCCGGAUUUAUUGGGCGUAAAGGGCACGUAGGCGGCCGCGCACGUCCGUUGUGAAAUCGCCCGGCUCAACUGGGCGGGGUCAGCGGAUACGGUGUGGCUAGAGCAAGCUAGGGGGCAAUGGAAUUCCCGGUGUAGUGGUGGAAUGCGUAGAUAUCGGGAGGAACACCAGUGGCGAAGGCGGUUGCCUGGAGCUUUGCUGACGCUGAUGCGCGAAAGCGUGGGGAGCGAUCCGG
RNAcentral lists this ribosomal RNA (253 nucleotides) under uncultured bacterium. RNAcentral's name for it is "partial 16S ribosomal RNA". It matches the Rfam family "Bacterial small subunit ribosomal RNA", at positions 524 to 776 of the family's 1533-position model. The record is from RNAcentral.